CCUACGGGGGGCUGCAGUGGGGAAUUUUGGACAAUGGGGGCAACCCUGAUCCAGCCAUUCCGCGUGAGUGAAGAAGGCCUUCGGGUUGUAAAGCUCUUUUGUCCGGAGCGAAACGGGCGGCCCUAAUACGGUAGUCUACUGACGGUACCGGAAGAAUAAGCACCGGCCAACUACGUGCCAGCAGCCGCGGUAAUACGUAGGGUGCGAGCGUUAAUCGGAAUUACGGGGGGGAAAUUGUGAGCCAGCGGUGAAAUCCCCGGGCUCAACCUGGGAAUGGCAGUUGGGACUGCAAGGCUGGAGUGUGGCAGAGGGGACUAGAAUUCCUGGUGUAGCAGUGAAAUGCGUAGAUAUCAGGAGGAAUACCGAUGGCGAAGGCAGGUCCCUGGGUUAACACUGACGCUCAUGCACGAAAGCGUGGGGAGCAAACAGGAUUAGAUACCCCUGUAGUC
Molecule: ribosomal RNA, 449 nt
Filed under: uncultured bacterium
Lineage: Bacteria
Description: partial 16S ribosomal RNA
Rfam family: Bacterial small subunit ribosomal RNA
Source: RNAcentral